This 848-nucleotide ribosomal RNA is filed under the name uncultured Bacteroidota bacterium. RNAcentral's name for it is "bacterial SSU rRNA". It matches the Rfam family "Bacterial small subunit ribosomal RNA", at positions 28 to 886 of the family's 1533-position model. Lineage: Bacteria; Pseudomonadati; Bacteroidota. The record is from RNAcentral.
GAUGAACGCUAGCGGCAGCCUAACACAUGCAAGUCGAGGGAGGAGCUUUCGGGCUUCGACCGGCGUACGGGUGCGUAACGCGUAUACAAUCUGCCUUUCACAUAGGGAUAGCCCGAAGAAAUCUGGAUUAAUACCUAAUGGUAUAUAGGGAUGGCAUCAUUUUUAUAUUAAAGCUGAGGCGGUGAAAGAUGAGUAUGCGUUCUAUUAGCUAGUUGGAGAGGUAACGGCUCCCCAAGGCGACGAUAGAUAGGGGUUCUGAGAGGGAUAUCCCCCACACUGGUACUGAGAUACGGACCAGACUCCUACGGGAGGCAGCAGUGAGGAAUAUUGGACAAUGGUCGGAAGACUGAUCCAGCCAUGCCGCGUGCAGGAAGACGGCCUUAUGGGUUGUAAACUGCUUUUGCAGGGGAAGAAUAAGGACUACGUGUAGUUUGAUGACGGUACUCUGCGAAUAAGCAUCGGCUAACUCCGUGCCAGCAGCCGCGGUAAUACGGAGGAUGCGAGCGUUGUCCGGAAUCAUUGGGUUUAAAGGGUCCGUAGGCGGGCUAAUAAGUCAGAGGUGAAAGCGCUCAGCUCAACUGAGCAACUGCCUUUGAAACUGUUAGUCUUGAAUGGUUGUGAAGUAGUUGGAAUGUGUAGUGUAGCGGUGAAAUGCUUAGAUAUUACACAGAACACCGAUAGCGAAGGCAUAUUACUAACAAUUAAUUGACGCUGAUGGACGAAAGCGUGGGGAGCGAACAGGAUUAGAUACCCUGGUAGUCCACGCUGUAAACGAUGGAUACUAGCUGUUUGGUUGCAAGACUGAGUGGCUAAGCGAAAGUGAUAAGUAUCCCACCUGGGAGUACGCA